RNAcentral lists this ribosomal RNA (277 nucleotides) under uncultured prokaryote. RNAcentral's name for it is "partial 16S ribosomal RNA". It matches the Rfam family "Bacterial small subunit ribosomal RNA", at positions 524 to 800 of the family's 1533-position model. The record is from RNAcentral.
UACGUAGGUGGCGAGCGUUGUCCGGAUUUACUGGGCGUAAAGGGAGCGUAGGCGGACUUUUAAGUGAGAUGUGAAAUACCCGGGCUUAACUUGGGUGCUGCAUUUCAAACUGGAAGUCUAGAGUGCAGGAGAGGAGAAUGGAAUUCCUAGUGUAGCGGUGAAAUGCGUAGAGAUUAGGAAGAACACCGGUGGCGAAGGCGAUUCUCUGGACUGUAACUGACGCUGAGGCUCGAAAGCGUGGGGAGCAAACAGGAUUAGAUACCCCCGUAGUCCCUGA